Molecule: long non-coding RNA, 4270 nt
Organism: Apis mellifera (honey bee)
Lineage: Eukaryota; Metazoa; Arthropoda; Insecta; Hymenoptera; Apidae
Exons: 5
Source: RefSeq, a predicted model, not a curated record
UAAUUUUCAUAGAUUUAAAGAAAACGCGCGUUAACAUGAGCAUGCGCAAUAAAUGAUGCGCAUAAAAAGCCAGUAAGUGAGCGUUGUUACGUGAGCAUGAAAAAAUAAAUUAUACUUCAAAGUAACAAAUGUCGAUUUGUGAUUUAUUGUAUAAUUAUAGUGACUGUUUUCGCGUGAAAAAAAUAUAUAAAAUCGAAAGCAAAUAGUAAAAGAAAGAAAAGAUAAAAAAAUUAACCUUAAUUAACAAGAUUGUCAUUUGUGUUUCGUGUCGACAGUACUUUCAUAUGGAUUCGCGAUACUGGUUUUUAAACCGGUUUGGCUCGUUACUGCGCAAACUACAUAGACGCGUCUACAACAUUCUACUAACGUGAAAAAAAAAGCAAAUAACAAAAUGAUUUAAUUUUUAAUCUGAAUUUUUUAAUACAAAUAUUAUAAUUUAAGUAUAUACUAAUAUUUAAUUAAUAAUUAACCAUAAUAUAAUGAUUCAAAUAUUGUAAGUUAAAAAAUUGAAAAAUUAAAAAUUUUUGUAAAGUCGUUAUCAAUGUUUUCACGGAUUCGAAGAAUAUCAAGGAGAUCAAUUACUUUAAAAGUAUCUCUAACACAAAACUAUCCGACAAGAACAUAAAAUAUAGUUUGAAGUAAUCUUUCGUUCCACCGGCGACAGGCGGCGUAUGCUUGUCAGAAAGCAACGCGGGAUAACCGCAUCGCGCAGACCGAAACUAGCAAAAAUAAACACUUUGCCGCGAGGCCAUGAACCAUUAUAUUAUGUACAGUUCGUUCAGAGACGUAUCGAAGUCAUAAAUUAUUAUAUCAAUCGGUUGUACGAUUGUCGCUAUAGCGACAUUUCUUAUAUCGUCGGAACAUUUUUCUAGAUUGAUUUCAUAACCUCUUUAUGUCUUUAACAGAUAUCUUAAUAUAUAUAUAUAUAUAUAUAUAUACAUAUAGUAUAUUGGAGUAUAAAGUUUGCCCAAAAAACAAUUGUCAAGAGUCAGCAUAGGAUUAUAAUAAUUUACGAGAAAUAUCGUCAUCGUUGUAGUAUCGUUUUCUUCGAAAGACGAAAACGAAGACCCGAAGGCGAGCGUGCAUUGACGCCGCCCGAUACUGGGUGGUAAGUCCAUCGGUGCAUCGUGGUGCAAUCAGUUGUAGCAACAACGACGUUGUAUUGGUAGUGAUGCAUCGUUUACGGUAGAGGGGGCGAAAGUAUGACGAGAAGAGCAACGAAAUGGUUGAAGGGUGGGAGGAAGAGGGAGAUUGUUAAGUUAUGUUAGUCGAUAUACGGGUUUGUUUGCGUAGUCAGUGACGGUGUAGGAGAGCGCGCGGCAACUGGGAGAGUAAAACGGCGCAUGAAAAGAGAAAAAGAAGAAGAGGGAGGCGAAGUUGUGACCAGGGUGCCAGGGGGUCUGGCCCAAGCCUGUUUGUCGGUCCCGUUGCCCUAUAAUCGUGGUAUACGGAUAAUGGUUUGGGUUAAGGGGACGUCAGGAUGGGCCGUGCUAGAGGGGAACACGAGAGGAAAGAGAUCAGAGUAAAGAACGUGUAUAGAAGAGCCGGGAGCAGCGGCGUCGAGACAGAGCAGUUUCGAACGUCCUGCACUUUUCGUAGACGAAAAGGACGAGCCGACGCACACCCAAUCGAGCGAAACUUUCGCUGGCUCGGCUUACCCAUCGUUUGGCAAAGCUUUUCUUUCGAUCUUGUCCUGUCCAGGGAACCAAGCGAUGAUUUCUGGCCCAGCUAUGCUAGCUUGAAAAUGUAAUUACCGAGAAAGCCCGGUGGAGAAUGUUCCCGCUGACGCUGGAACACUUGAGGAAUAACUAUUGAAAAAUAUAAUAUUUUGCUCGUAUUUGGCUGAUUCAAAUACAUUUUUAUAAAAUUUGAAUGAUGCAUAGUUUUAUUAUAUGGGAAAUUAAUUAAUUCAUUGAAGGAUGAAUGAGAUAAUAGACGAUAAUAAUUUUCAUGAUUUAUAUACGCUUGCAUAAAACUGAUUCAGAAUCUGUUUUCAGGAAACAGUCAUGAGGAAACUUUUCUUACAAUUACAAUUUUUUCCAUACAUAUCAGCAUAAAGUUUUAUAUUAGGAAAAACUAAGGCUCAAGAAUGAAAACAACCAUGUAUUAAAGAUAACAGCAGAAGAAAUUGUAGCAUUGUUCAUCAUCCAUAACAGGAGGCGGGAAAAAAAAGGGAGGAGGAAAGGGAUGAUGGGGAUGGUGCAGAAGCGGCGGAUGGCGUCGGCGACAGCCGGCAGAGCCACGUCGUCGCCGUCGAACGGACGACGACGAAACGACGGGCAGGCUCUCUCGUGCAGACGAAACGUGUGUGGAGUGAGAGACGGAAAGGGAGAAAGAGACAGCCGGGCGCCGAUUCCAGCGACCGGCCGGCGCUAACCUCGACGCCAACCGUGGAACGUCGCCGACACCGUCGCCGCCACUGGCCGACCCACGACACCACGACGAAGACGACGAUGACGACGGGCACGACGACCACGACGACGAUGUCGACGACGACCACGACGAUGUCGACCAAUGCAAGAAUACUUCUUCUUCUGUUGGCAUCGUGGCAUCGUCACGGCGGGGGUGGGACGGUGUGCGUCGGUCGCCAAGCAGGAGGGCGCCCUUCCCUUACUACCCCAGCCUCCUCCGUUCGCAUCUCCUUUUGCACACCGACGCACAUGUUUGCUUUGGUAUUGUCAGCUGAAUUUCCCGAUCCCGGGAUACGUCAAUAGCGUGAUGUUUUGUUCGGGAAUAAUUAUGAAUCUGUGGACUUACGUGGCGAGCGGUGCCAGCGCGUCUUUACUAUCUCUAACGGGGGUUCCCUUCGCUCGCCCUCCUCUUUAGAAAAACGGAACGACGAUCCCCCCCCCAUCCUUUCCUUUCGGUCGCUCCUCGAUCGUAAGAAUCGUUUGUUCUGGGGGAAUGGCGUUUGGUUUUAUGGUUCUUACGGAAUUCAUGUAAUAUCGAUCAAGCUACGAAAGAAAUGUUUUCAAAACCUGUUUACUUCGAAAAGUUUUCCUCUUCGAAUCCGUUUACUCGCGGCUCCUAGGAUAAUCGUAAAUAGAUCAACCAUUGAAAUUAAGGCCGCGUCUGUCUGGACGUGUGAAAGAUUAUUAGUUUCUUUGUUUUAUUAAUCAAAAAAAAUGCACUACUAUUACAAAAAUAUCCAAUACUAUUGGAUAUUUGAAAAGAAUUUAUUUUUCAUUAAAGUACAUAUCUUUUAUUAAAGUAUUUCUUGUGCAUUUUAUCUUCGAACACGAUAAUUUCGUUAUAAAAGAUAAGAAAAAAAGGAAGAACCAUAUAAAGAUUCGUAUCAUAAAAUAAUAAACAUGAUAUAAUCGAGACAUAAUUUGUUAAAAAAACAUUACAAGAAUAUAAAAGUUGAAGAAACGGCGAUUCGAACGGUUGAAUUGCCACGAGUACUCCUAGAUCCAACACGAUAACUCAUUUUUUCGGCGGAUAGAGACGGCGCCUGUGUGUAUAGAGGAUGUUCCCUCCCGGUACCCAUGUUUUAACCCAUGCCAGCGCCUACCCCCCGGCAUAUCCACGAAAAGUAGAAGCGAGCCAUUGGGGCGGAAGAUGACUACGACGGCUCCAGCGAGGGGCGCCAAGUGUUUUGAUGCUUGUUAUGCGAAGGGGAGCUUGAUAAACAACGAGUUGGAGAACGAAGCCGGACCUAGAUCGUCACCAUCACCUCUUCCACCCACACUCGAAACCGACAUCCGACUGACUGGCUACGAUUGUGUCAUUACAAGAGAAUUGAUAUCACCGAUACUAUAACCGUCCCUUCUUGUUUUUUCCUCUAUAUCGUGGUAUAUACACGGGAGGAGGGUACGACUCGUAAAGUGGAAUCGCUAACGCGCGUUGAUUGCUUGGCAACAAAUUGAAAUCGCCCGGUACCGUUACAAAUGUGCAAUAAUCCGUGGAAUCUAAAAGUAUCCGGUAGACCUUAUUUCGAUUUCUAAGUUUUCUAAAUAAAUAUUCGAUAUUACGGAUAUAGGGAAAAUCGAUGAAGAGAUGAAUGAUUAUCGUGAUAAUAGAUUAUCGUAAUAGUAUACAAGAGCUGUUUUGAAUAAUCGAAUUUUUUUUAAAAAAUUGAACAAAUUUAAUAAAUCGUAGAAAUCAUACAAUAUUUAAUCAAUUAGAUAAAUUCUUGAACAUGACGUAUACUAAGUUUAAUAUUUGCAAUAAAAUAAAUUUAAAAAGAUCAAUAUUUAACAGGAAAAGAAUAAGGAUUCUUAUUCUUUUUUCUCUCUCUUCUCUAUGUAAUUAUUCUAAUUACAUUAUC